CUACGGGUGGCUCCAGUGAGGAAUAUUGCACAAUGGGGGGAACCCUGAUGCAGCAACGCCGCGUGGAGGAUGACGCAUUUCGGUGUGUAAACUCCUUUUAUAUGUCAAGAAAAUGACGGUAGCAUAUGGAUAAGCACCGGCUAACUCCGUGCCAGCAGCCGCGGUAAUACGGAGGGUGCAAGCGUUACUCGGAAUCACUGGGCGUAAAGGACGCGUAGGCGGGUUGGAAAGUCAGGUGUGAAAUCCUACAGCUUAACUGUAGAACUGCACUUGAAACUUCUAAUCUAGAGUAUGGGAGGGGGAGAUGGAAUUAGUGGUGUAGGGGUAAAAUCCGUAGAUAUCACUAGGAAUACCUAAAGCGAAGGCGAUCUCCUGGAACAUUACUGACGCUAAGGCGUGAAAGCGUGGGGAGCAAACAGGAUAGAUACCCCAGUAGUC
Molecule: ribosomal RNA, 438 nt
Filed under: uncultured bacterium
Lineage: Bacteria
Description: partial 16S ribosomal RNA
Rfam family: Bacterial small subunit ribosomal RNA
Source: RNAcentral